GACGAACGCUGGCGGCGUGCUUAACACAUGCAAGUCGAACGGAAAGGCCUCUUUCGGGGGGGACUCGAGUGGCGAACGGGUGAGUAACACGUGAGUAACCUGCCCGUGACUUUGGGAUAACUUCAGGAAACUGGGGCUAAUACCCAUUAGUAGCUCCUGCUGCAUGGUGGGGGUUGGAAACUUUCCGCGGUUGGGUAUGGACUCGCGGCUUAUCGGCUUGUUGGGGGGGAAGUGCCUUACCAGGGCCUUGACGGGUAGCCGGCCUGAGAGGGUGACCGGCCACGUUGGCACCGAGCUUCGGCACAGACCCCUACGAGCGGCCGUUGUGGGGAAUAUUGAACCAUCGGUGGAAGCCUUAUGCAGCCGCUCAGCGUGCGGGAUGCCGCCCUUCGGGGUGAGCACCGCUUUCGCUUCUAAAGAAGCUUUGUGUGACGUUACUGGGUAAAGAAGCACCGGCUAACUACGUG
Molecule: ribosomal RNA, 467 nt
Filed under: uncultured bacterium
Lineage: Bacteria
Description: partial 16S ribosomal RNA
Rfam family: Bacterial small subunit ribosomal RNA
Source: RNAcentral